GGAAGCACUGAGUCGUGUUUAGGGUGUGG
This 29-nucleotide non-coding RNA is filed under the name Mus musculus (house mouse). Lineage: Eukaryota; Metazoa; Chordata; Mammalia; Rodentia; Muridae. The record is from RNAcentral.